CUCCUUCUUUGACAUGACUAGCCUGGGGGAAAAAAAAAAACCCAAAUAAAUUAUUAUAUUUAACUUGCAAGAAGCAUUUUUCUCAUCAACAUGGUGUCGACUGACUUCCUCACUGCCAGUUGAGAUUGAGUGUUGAAGAUUUAUUUCUCCUGGACUCCCACAAGUUACAACUGGAGAAUUUGAAAGGCAACACCAAAAUCAGCAUGGGAGCUAAACAUCAAAAUCCUCCAGAGUUUUGGAGUGUCUACUUCUGAAACUAAUUAAGUUGGCAGCAAUAAAUUUUCAGCCUUUCCUCACA
Molecule: long non-coding RNA, 298 nt
Organism: Taeniopygia guttata (zebra finch)
Lineage: Eukaryota; Metazoa; Chordata; Aves; Passeriformes; Estrildidae
Source: RefSeq, a predicted model, not a curated record